RNAcentral lists this long non-coding RNA (1405 nucleotides) under Felis catus (domestic cat). RNAcentral's name for it is "lncRNA (ENSFCAG00000047814.1)". Lineage: Eukaryota; Metazoa; Chordata; Mammalia; Carnivora; Felidae. The record is from RNAcentral.
AUGUUGUCUUUUGGCAGAAAUCAGAGAAAUAAUGUUGGUUUCAAGAUGUCAAGUAAAGCUUUCGUCCACCUGGACACUGUUCUUUGUUCAUGCAUGAGUGCUAGAUGCUACAAGAUACUGGAAGCAAGAAGGCAAGCAGGUCUUCCAAGGCCUGAAUGUCAUGGAAGAAGGAUAAAAUACUGGCAACAAGGAAAUGAACGCAAGCAAGAAAAAUCCCUCCUGUGCCGGCUGAGGUGUCCAGAACAGCCCUGUUUUCUGUACUGCCAAUUGUGGAAGACAUAUCAGCUGAUAGUUCACAGGAUCUUCAAGUGCUACCACAAGGUGAGUCAUUCUCUCUAUGCUACUUUAUACCAGAGUAGUUCCCCUGUGGAUUCUAAUGGUUUGAAACUACUGCAGUCCCUUUGACAAACACUGUAGGUAUUUUCAGCCACUGUGAUCAAAAUAUUUUGCAAAUGUGAAACAUUUUUCUGCUAACCCUGGUUAGUACUAGCUGCAUUCUCAUUACAUUGUUUGGCAGAGGCUGCUUUUUUCCAAUGGAAUGUUCUCUGUAUCUGGAAUAUUCUUUGUAUCUGAAAUAUUGCACAAGACGGUACAGCAGCUGUGUGAAAAGCUGGUUGAUUUCAAAGUCAUCUCCAGCCUUGUGAUUGUCCAAGUUCCAAAAUAGAAUGAGUAUGAUUAUAGCCUACAUAAAAGGUUACAGGCUUCAGAAGGGCUGGCUCCAAAUCAAAUGCCAAAUGAUGCCACCAUGUAUUGUACUUUAGAUUCGUCUAAAGCUGAACAUAUAGAAAACACUUGAUUUAAUUCAACAAAUAUUUAUUGGGUACCCAUUAUAUGCAAAAUAGUUUGUUUCAUGCUAAUCCCUGGAGCAAAAUAACAGUCUCAAAGUUUAAUCAUCAAAGCAUUUAUUGGACGCCCACCAGGAUGCUUCCUUUCAAUACCGUUGUAAUUCUAUGUAGUGAGCAUUCAACCAAGCCGUAUGAGCAGCGAAUAGAGAUAAUUGAAUGAGUGUAAUUGGGAGAGGAUUAGUAAUGAUGACCUCCCACUCACUGUAAUUCCACAUCGGGUCCCAUUUUGAUUACAUAAGGAACAUCAGACAUGGUUUUGACUGGGGUGGAUUCUGACCUGAAUAUGCCAGGAAUUGUAUCAAUUAUACAUCAAUUUCCAGGUAAUUGGCAACUGAGUGAUUAAAACCAAACAGAGAGUGAAAGAUUUAUCUAAGCCAAGGUUAUCAUUUUCAAGAGCUAGGAGGGAACAUAAGAGAUAAAUCCAAUGUUAUGAAGGUGAGUUCUCAAAUGAGUCCAGGUGUGAAGAAAGCAUGGAACUGUCAGAUACCAUGAUGCAAUCGGGAAAAGGUUCAGGAUUGAAAAUGGAAUCAAACCAUACUCGAUAUUUGCUAAAUAUCAAC